This 70-nucleotide transfer RNA is filed under the name Dipodomys ordii (Ord's kangaroo rat). It matches the Rfam family "tRNA". From Rfam's summary of the family: Transfer RNA (tRNA) molecules are approximately 80 nucleotides in length. Their secondary structure includes four short double-helical elements and three loops (D, anti-codon, and T loops). Further hydrogen bonds mediate the characteristic L-shaped molecular structure. tRNAs have two regions of fundamental functional importance: the anti-codon, which is responsible for specific mRNA codon recognition, and the 3' end, to which the tRNAs corresponding amino acid is attached (by aminoacyl-tRNA synthetases). tRNAs cope with the degeneracy of the genetic code in two manners: having more than one tRNA (with a specific anti-codon) for a particular amino acid; and 'wobble' base-pairing, i.e. permitting non-standard base-pairing at the 3rd anti-codon position. The record is from Rfam by way of RNAcentral. Lineage: Eukaryota; Metazoa; Chordata; Mammalia; Rodentia; Heteromyidae.
AGGAAUGUGGCUUAGUGGUAGAGUGCUUGUCUGGCAUGCAUGAAGCCCUGGGUUCAAUUCCUCAGUACUA